GCUCCCGUAGUUAAACGGAUAUAACAAACCCCUUCUAAGGGUUAAUUCGAGGUUCGAUUCCUCGCGGGAGCA
Molecule: transfer RNA, 72 nt
Filed under: Candidatus Woesebacteria bacterium
Lineage: Bacteria; Candidatus Woeseibacteriota
Description: tRNA-Arg
Rfam family: tRNA
About the family: Transfer RNA (tRNA) molecules are approximately 80 nucleotides in length.
Source: RNAcentral